This 319-nucleotide ribosomal RNA is filed under the name uncultured eukaryote. RNAcentral's name for it is "partial 18S ribosomal RNA". It matches the Rfam family "Eukaryotic small subunit ribosomal RNA", at positions 1470 to 1796 of the family's 1831-position model. The record is from RNAcentral.
CCCUUAGAUGUUCUGGGCAGCACGCGCGCUACAAUGGUCUUCGCAAACGGAUGCAUUCUCGAAGGAGAAUGCCAAUCUUGGAAUCUAUGCCUUGGUCGGGACAGUUGCUUGCAAUUUUUCGACUCGAACCAGGAAUUCCUUGUAAUCGUGAGUCAUCACAUCACGAUGAAUACGUCCCUGCCCUUUGUACACACCGCCCGUCGCUCCUACCGAUCGAAGAGUUAGGUGAAUUGUUUUGAUCGAUAAGAUUUGACUAUGGUCAACUCUCGUUGUGAAAUUCUGUGAAUCUGACUGUUUAGAGGAAGGAAAAGUCGUAACA